GUGCUGGCCACGCAGGAGGCUUAACCUGGCCGGCGCGGGAAUGGGGUGCAGAGAGCAAAGAAAUGUGGCUUUGAUCUUAUGGAUGCCUUACUUUUACAUUAUUUGUACAGUUCUUGCAGUGAGCUUUCCGGACCACUGUCUUGUAUGUUUCCUAAGAAAAGCAAAAAGGGAAGAGAUUGAAGAGAAAGUAGAUUUUCAACUACAAACUUUCAUCCAUUUGCUUUCAGCUUAAGCAAAUGUGCGCAAAGUUGUCAUGGAUUUUUGCAGUCAAUAAAAACCAAGCAAGAAGACUGAAUCCCAAGUCAUCUGGGGCAGAUAAGAAAAGAAACAAUUUGCUGAAACUCCCUCUGCUUAUAACAAAACUGACUGAAAUCAGCCGGAAUCAAUAUGGCCAAAUGCAGUUUGCGCACAGCAAGCUUGCUGAUGUCACAGCCUGAAUUUCUACUGCAUGUUUCAUACCAACUCCCUCCAAAUUUGCACAUGGGACCCACCAGGAAGCAUGAAGAGAGAGCCAUGCAUGCCUGAAGACUUCCCAGAUGUUCCCUUUGCUUCCACCAAUCACCUGCUAACCCCAGGAUCCAACCCUAAACCUUUUGUAAUAAAAUUACUGCCCUAAAGCCAGUACAAGACAGAUUUGAACUGGACUUUUGUUUCCUCAGAAGUUAACUUGCAAUGUGAAGCUUUCCUUUUCUCAAAAACUUGGUGUCAUAGUGUUGGCUUCUAGUGCAGUGAGCCCCUUUUGCUGGAUAACCUUACCUGGUAAUUUGACAUACUAGGUGGUUAGUAACUACUGACUGUCUCCAGGUUACAACACAGUUAUUACCCACUUGGGUGAAAAGAGAAGACAGGAAAUACAUUUUGGAGUUGGCUGGCAACCUGUUUACAAAGCAAUUUACAACAGUUCCUUAUUCUUAAGGGGCUAUUCUAAUACAAGACCUCAGAGAAACAGUGCAGUGUGACAAAGGAGGAAUUUAUCAAAGGAGACAGAAAAAGCAUCAAGGCAAGCUGUGAAAUGGUGCGGUAGGAACCAAAUAGAGAGCCAAAGGAUCUUUCUGUCACUGCAGGCCCUUAGGGGUAAGCAAAUCCUUCCCUGAUCCCUGGUCUCCUUAUCUGUAAAUGAGAAUACCAGCACCCACCUCACUGUGCUGUAAACAUGAUGAGUUCUAACAAUAAUUUAUAAAUUGUAAAAUCACACAAAUCUAA
RNAcentral lists this long non-coding RNA (1203 nucleotides) under Homo sapiens (human). RNAcentral describes it as "non-protein coding TEX26-AS1:9". Lineage: Eukaryota; Metazoa; Chordata; Mammalia; Primates; Hominidae. The record is from RNAcentral.